RNAcentral lists this ribosomal RNA (293 nucleotides) under uncultured bacterium. RNAcentral describes it as "partial 16S ribosomal RNA". It matches the Rfam family "Bacterial small subunit ribosomal RNA", at positions 505 to 796 of the family's 1533-position model. The record is from RNAcentral.
GUGUCAGCAGCCGCGGUAAUACAGAGGGUGCGAGCGUUGCUCGGAAUCACUGGGCGUAAAGCGCGUGUAGGCGGCCCGUUAAGUCUGAUGUGAAAGCCCGGGGCUCAACCUCGGAACUGCCUUUGAUACUGGCGAUCUUAGAGUCCGGGAGAGGUGAGUGGAACUCCGAGUGUAGAGGUGAAAUUCGUAGAUAUUCGGAAGAACACCAGUGGCGAAGGCGGCUCACUGGCCCGGUACUGACGCUCAGGUGCGAAAGCGUGGGGAGCGAUCCGGAUUAGAUACCCCAGUAGUCC